UUUUGCCUAGGGACGCAGCAGUGGGGAAUAUUGCACAAUGGGGGAAACCCUGAUGCAGCAACGCCGCGUGAGUGAAGAAGUAUUUCGGUAUGUAAAGCUCUAUCAGCAGGGAAGAAAAUGACGGUACCUGAGUAAGAAGCCCCGGCUAACUACGUGCCAGCAGCCGCGGUAAUACGUAGGGGGCAAGCGUUAUCCGGAUUUACUGGGUGUAAAGGGAGCGUAGACGGCGAUGCAAGUCUGAAGUGAAAGCCCGGGGCUCAACCCCGGGACUGCUUUGGAAACUGUAUGGCUGGAGUGCUGGAGAG
RNAcentral lists this ribosomal RNA (305 nucleotides) under uncultured bacterium. RNAcentral's name for it is "bacterial SSU rRNA". It matches the Rfam family "Bacterial small subunit ribosomal RNA", at positions 333 to 656 of the family's 1533-position model. The record is from RNAcentral.